UGGGGAAUUUUGGACAAUGGGGGCAACCCUGAUCCAGCAAUGCCGCGUGUGUGAAGAAGGCCUUCGGGUUGUAAAGCACUUUUGUCCGGGAAGAAAUCGCACCUGAUAAUACCGGGUGUGGAUGACGGUACCGGAAGAAUAAGGACCGGCUAACUACGUGCCAGCAGCCGCGGUAAUACGUAGGGUCCAAGCGUUAAUCGGAAUUACUGGGCGUAAAGCGUGCGCAGGCGGUUGUGCAAGACCGAUGUGAAAUCCCCGGGCUUAACCUGGGAAUUGCAUUGGUGACUGCACGGCUAGAGUGUGUCAGAGGGGGGUAGAAUUACACGUGUAGCAGUGAAAUGCGUAGAGAUGUGGAGGAAUACCGAUGGCGAAGGCAGCCCCCUGGGAUAACACUGACGCUCAUGCACGAAAGCGUGGGGAGCAAACAGG
This 429-nucleotide ribosomal RNA is filed under the name Bacillota bacterium. Its description in RNAcentral is "Firmicutes bacterium partial 16S ribosomal RNA". It matches the Rfam family "Bacterial small subunit ribosomal RNA", at positions 355 to 776 of the family's 1533-position model. The record is from RNAcentral. Lineage: Bacteria; Bacillati; Bacillota.